AGUGGACGCUGGCGGUAGGCCUAACACAUGCAAGUCGAACGGCAGCACAGUAAGAGCUUGCUCUUACGGGUGGCGAGUGGCGGACGGGUGAGGAAUACAUCGGAAUCUACUUUUUCGUGGGGGAUAACGUAGGGAAACUUACGCUAAUACCGCAUACGACCUACGGGUGAAAGCAGGGGAGCUUUGGACCUUGCGCGAUUGAAUGAGCCGAUGUCGGAUUAGCUAGUUGGCGGGGUAAAGGCCCACCAAGGCGACGAUCCGUAGCUGGUCUGAGAGGAUGAUCAGCCACACUGGAACUGAGACACGGUCCAGACUCCUACGGGAGGCAGCAGUGGGGAAUAUUGGACAAUGGGCGCAAGCCUGAUCCAGCCAUACCGCGUGGGUGAAGAAGGCCUUCGGGUUGUAAAGCCCUUUUGUUGGGAAAGAAAAGCAGCAGGUUAAUACCCCGCUGUUCUGACGGUACCCAAAGAAUAAGCACCGGCUAACUUCGUG
Molecule: ribosomal RNA, 492 nt
Filed under: uncultured bacterium
Lineage: Bacteria
Description: partial 16S ribosomal RNA
Rfam family: Bacterial small subunit ribosomal RNA
Source: RNAcentral